RNAcentral lists this ribosomal RNA (537 nucleotides) under uncultured bacterium. Its description in RNAcentral is "bacterial SSU rRNA". It matches the Rfam family "Bacterial small subunit ribosomal RNA", at positions 355 to 912 of the family's 1533-position model. The record is from RNAcentral.
UGGGGAAUCUUGGACAAUGGGGGCAACCCUGAUCCAGCCAUGCCGCGUGAGUGAUGAAGGCCUUAGGGUCGUAAAGCUCUUUCAACGGUGAAGAUGAUGACGGUAGCCGUAGAAGAAGCCCCGGCUAACUUCGUGCCAGCAGCCGCGGUAAUACGAAGGGGGCAAGCGUUGUUCGGAAUUACUGGGCGUAAAGCGCACGUAGGCGGACCAGAAAGUUGGGGUGAAAUCCCGGGCUCAACCCCGGAACUGCCUCCAAAACUAUUGGUCUAGAGUUCGAGAGAGGUGAGUGGAAUUCCAAGUGUAGAGGUGAAAUUCGUAGAUAUUAGGUGGAACACCAGUGGCGAAGGCGCCUAACUGGUCCGGUACUGACGCUGAGGUGCGAAAGUGUGGGGAGCAAACAGGAUUAGAUACCCUGGUAGUCCACGCCGUAAACGAUGAGUGCUAGAUGUUGGGAUUUUCGGAUUUCAGUGUCGCAGCUAACGCAUUAAGCACUCCGCCUGGGGAGUACGGCCGCAGGUUAAAACGUCAAAUGAAUUG